GCGACAUUGGUGUAGCGGUUUACACGGUGUGCACACGUGAUCUCCAAGGACGUUCGCAUAUUUACACAGCCCCAGGUUCGAGUCCUGGAUGUCGCA
This 96-nucleotide transfer RNA is filed under the name Marasmius sp. AFHP31. RNAcentral's name for it is "tRNA-Val". Lineage: Eukaryota; Fungi; Basidiomycota; Agaricomycetes; Agaricales; Marasmiaceae. The record is from RNAcentral.